Esox lucius (northern pike) is the source of this 3078-nucleotide long non-coding RNA. Lineage: Eukaryota; Metazoa; Chordata; Actinopteri; Esociformes; Esocidae. The record is from Ensembl.
UGUGAUAAAAUAAUAUUUAUUUCACAGAAGUACAAACAUGUAAAGAGAAAAAAAAACAGCUUAUCAUAUUGUCGUACACCAAACGCUGUUAACAUCUUCAUCUUAGCUGUCCUAACUCUGGUCCAGGGCAUUUUUCUAAGCUUAACCAAGUGACAUCCUGGUCCAGAGCUAGUGUAUCUUUAUCCAUAUCAAACCAGCAGCGCCAGCCCCUGAUCACCACACUGAUCAUCAUUAGUCAACAUCAAUGCACAUCAAGAAAGAAAGAAAGAAAGAAAAUUGUCAACAGGGCUGUUCACACCUGUUCCUAACGUGUUCUUUUAACUGAUCUUGUCCGCAUUCUGAUUGUGGCUUUUUUACAUGAUUAAAAGAUAGUCUGGGAUCUGAUCUUAUUAGUAUAAAUGGACAAGAGCAGGUGGAAGGAAGGCUGGAUCCGUUAGAACCAGGUGACCAUGUCCUGUGACGAUAUAAACAGGAGAGACAUGGUUAUUAUAUUGGUCUCACCACGGAGACCCUCGUUGUUCCAAGAUGGGAUAAAAGGUUCGGCAUUUUAGUCAGGGAGAAAUCCGGUCCAACUGGAAAGAAAGGCAGUAGUAAUGCCCUGUCAGUUUUUACUUUGUAGGGCCCAGCAUGUUGGCAGUUAAACAGUUAUGGAUUUGUUCAUCCAAAUGCUGACUGGGUAAUUCUAUCUAGCCAACAGAACAAGGCAGAUACAUUCUUCAGAGUGGAUUGGUUUCUACACUAUCACAACAAUGGCAAAACAUCAUUGUUUUUGACCAACAUGGCUGACCUGUUCUCCCAGAUCAUAAGGCUCGUGUCCAGUUUAGUUUUCAAAUGACUAGUUCUAUGGAUCUCACAUUGACUUUGGAACAAACUGAACACACAGUACAAUAAUCUUAGAAAAUAACAUAGAAUUAUUCCACACCAUUUUCCCAAAAGAUGUUUGUUGGUUAUUUACCAAUCCCCAAUAUAAUCUCUAACAUUUUUAACCUCUUUACCAAUAACCAAUAUAAUCUCUAACAGGUAGUUACCUCCAUCAGUUAUAAUCUCUUAACCAGUAAUAACCACAGCCUCUGUUUUCCCUGGGAUAGGUGACCAACCAUGAGGAGGAUAAAGAAGACAUAGCGUUUUGGUCCAGAGCUUGUUGAGGCUCCCAGAAGCAUCAGACGUAACCCCAUGGACCAGAGAUGACUAGGACACCAAUUCAGAUGUAACCCCCUUGACCAGAGAUAACCAAAACACAGCUUCAGGUAAUCGUCAAGGCCUCUAUGUGUCGGUGUGUGAGUGCGAACAGGAACAUGCAAUCAGAUGGCUGGGUAGAGGAAUGAUGCCCUGACGUGGCAAAACACAUUGUCAGGUUAAAACACCAUCUUUGGCACAGAGAACUGUCAGAGGUAGGGCAGAACAUUAUCUAAAGAUGUCGAAUGAUAAUUUGAUCUUUGUAUUAUUGCAGGAAUUUCCCUAAAUAGCAUAGACCGUAAUAAUUAAAAUUUUGCAAUUGGCUCAUAUUAAGAUUCGACAUCUGUAGCAACAACAAAUCUUUUGGAAUAGAGGUCCAAUUUUAAAUCGCUGUGUGUAAAACUUGGGAAACACUGAUAUUUAUAAUAAACUUAUGGAAAGGAGUCCACAUAACAGUACAAUGAAACGUGUAAAAAUAGCGUAACAUAUGAUCUAUUUCAUUCUGUUGGUUAAUAAACAAUAUACAAAUAGCUAAAACAGUCCACGGAUGACUACUGGCUUGAGAGAACAUGACGUUUCUCCUCUACCCAGAGGCAUUAACUCUGAGCUAAGGCAGUUUGUUUUUUACAUUCCUACACAGUGUUGUGGCACCAGGAGGGACUGUCCUGAAAUGGAGGGUGCUGUUUCACAAUGAACUUCAUCCACGCAGAGAGACUUCAGGUAAUAUUCCAUGGUUUUGCCCCACAUGUAGAUAAAACGCUGGGGAGGUUCAACCAAUCCAUUAGAUGUGGAGGAGCGUUGUCUUGUUAAAGUCCGAACAUAGGCUGUCACUUUCUGUGUCCCUUGAAAACAGGAACAUGUGCUUGUAGAAGAUGGAAGUCCCUUCAACAAGAGAACAAAGCACAUAAACACUGCCAGUCUGUGGGAGAGGUAGAGGUAACUCUUCCCAGACCAACCUCAGACUAACAUACUCCUGUUGCAGGAGUCGCCAGACUGCAACUGACAGAACUCUCCCCCUUGUCCAAUAGCCUUGCACACUUCUUCUCUUAAGUUUCUCUUCCACUGAAAUCCAGAGGAAUUGGCAAGUUUAUAACCUCUAUACUGCGUUGUCACUAGCUUCUAUUGUCACCUCAAGGUUAGAUUCCAUAUCUGCAAAGUCCAAAUGUUUUAAUGUAAGGCUAGGCACCAGUGAAGCUAGUGACACUUGUAUAAUGCCAACAGUAUAACCAUAAUGCCCUGAUCUCUGCUUCUUCACAGCAUUCUACAAGUCAACAAUGAAAGGUUGCAGACAGUCAGACCAUUCUAUGUACAGGUCUUCUGCCCUCAAGAGUGUGGUUGCUACAUACUGUAGAGAACGUUAUGUUGAGCCUCAUAGCCAAUCAGGAUAGAUUUAGCUCCACUUGAAGGAGUCGGUCGGUCAUUCCGCCACGUCUGUCGGCAGGCAGAAUCAGAAGGCCAGGCAUAUGCUGCGAAUGGCUUGUGGAAAGCAUGUUGUGAAUUCUGGUAGGACGUGGCUUUGUGGAGACUAGAGGCCCUAUAAGGGCUGAGAGUAGGGGCCAACCAAGGGGUCUGAGGAGAGGAGACAAACACCAUUUUAAUAAGAUGUUAAGGACAAAGUCUGUUGAGGCAGUGUUCAGUCAUUUUGUGUCGAGUUGGAAAAAACUGCCUGAAAAUCUCAGACCUGCUCCAACAUUAACCACUUUUGAAUCUUAGUUUACGUGUCCCUGGUGAUGUUUUUAUUUUUGUGUAUUUCUAAUGUAAAGCACUUUGAAUUGCAUGAAAGAACGUAAGUUACUGUAGCCCCCCCCCGUAGGAAGGCCCACCUACUUAAGUCCCCCCCUACUAUUAGUCUCCCCCAAGACACCCCCCCCGUAUUAGUCUCCCCCAAGACACCCCCCCCCG